RNAcentral lists this ribosomal RNA (842 nucleotides) under uncultured bacterium. Its description in RNAcentral is "bacterial SSU rRNA". It matches the Rfam family "Bacterial small subunit ribosomal RNA", at positions 28 to 896 of the family's 1533-position model. The record is from RNAcentral.
GAUGAACGCUGGCGGCGUGCUUAAUCCAUGCAAGUCGAACGAAUCGGCGCAAGCCGGUUAGUGGCGGACGGGUGCGUAACACGUGGGUGACCUAUCCUGAAGUGGGGAAUAACUGUCCGAAAGGGCAGCUAAUACCGCAUGUGGUCCGGCAGCAGAUGCUGGAUUAAAGGCGAGAGUCGCUUCAGGAGGGGCCCGCGGCCUAUCAGCUAGUUGGUGGGGUAAGAGCCUACCAAGGCGAAGACGGGUAGCUGGUCUGAGAGGAUGAUCAGCCACACUGGCACUGAAAUACGGGCCAGACUCCUACGGGAGGCAGCAGGAAGGAAUUUUGGACAGUGGGGGAAACCCUGAUCCAGCAACGCCGCGUGGGCGAUGAAGGUCUUCGGAUCGUAAAGCCCUUUUCUGUGGGAAGAGGCAGGACGGUACCACAGGAAUAAGUCUCGGCUAACUACGUGCCAGCAGCCGCGGUAAAACGUAGGAGGCAAGCGUUAUCCGGAUUUACUGGGCGUAAAGCGCAUGCAGGCGGCAGCGCAAGUUGGGCGUGAAAUCUCUCGGCUUAACCGGGAGGGGUCGUCCAAUACUGUGCAGCUUGGGUGCAGGAGAGGGAAGCGGAAUUUCCAGUGUAGCGGUAAUAUGCGCAGAUAUUGGAAAGAACACCAGUGGCGAAGGCGGCUUCCUGGCCUGUAACCGACGCUAAGAUGCGAAAGCUAGGGGAGCGAACGGGAUUAGAUACCCCGGUAGUCCUAGCUGUAAACGAUGGAUACUAGGUGUGAGUGGUAUUGACCCCACUCGUGCCGAAGCCAACGCGUUAAGUAUCCCGCCUGGGGAGUACGACCGCAAGGUUA